This 146-nucleotide unclassified non-coding RNA is filed under the name soil metagenome. RNAcentral describes it as "partial internal transcribed spacer 1". The record is from RNAcentral.
UAAUAAGUGUUUUAUGGCACUUUUUAAAUCCAUAUCCACCUUGUGUGCAAUGUCAGUCGAUCUUCUUCAUGGAGAUUGACAAAACAUCAACCUUUAUCUUUUAAACACUUUGUCUGAAAAAUAUUAUGAAUAAACAAUUCAAAAUA